AAGUCGUAACAAGGUUUCCGUAGGUGAACCUGCGGAAGGAUCAUUAUUACGUAUCCAACGUAUAAACCAAAUGUGAAUUGUUUCCGUUCUGAAUGGAAGUCAAUGACUAGUUUGCACCAAGGUUCCGUGUUAGUGUGGAACUGCAAUCUUGUCGCUACAUUCGUGUGGGGCUUCUGUUGUAGAAUCGGUCUUACACUAACUUUAAUCAUUAACCACUUGUACAUAACAUUGAACUAAUUUUGUUUCGCGCUUCUGUGGACCUUUCGGGGCUCAUGGACACGAAAUUCUAUUACGUAACUUGAACAACUCUUAGCAACGGAUAUCUUGGCUCUC
Molecule: unclassified non-coding RNA, 333 nt
Filed under: fungal sp.
Lineage: Eukaryota; Fungi
Description: partial internal transcribed spacer region
Rfam family: Eukaryotic small subunit ribosomal RNA (bases 1-46)
Source: RNAcentral